This 185-nucleotide small RNA is filed under the name Auraticoccus monumenti. RNAcentral's name for it is "Propionibacteriaceae bacterium MON 2.2 Actinobacteria sRNA Ms_IGR-5". It matches the Rfam family "Actinobacteria sRNA Ms_IGR-5". The record is from Rfam by way of RNAcentral. Lineage: Bacteria; Bacillati; Actinomycetota; Actinomycetes; Propionibacteriales; Propionibacteriaceae.
ACACGGAAGGGAGGUGGUUCGAUCAAUGAAUGACAGUCGGACAUGUGAGGUGGCGGCGGGCUGAUUCCCGCCUGAGCCGGCACGGCGUCGGCCAAUCCACCGUCGUCACCCAGACCCGCGAGCGCCGUCGUCCAACGGCCGCACCCUGCAGCGCAGCGUGCGAAGUGCUCGCGGGUCUGUCACGU